UACGUAGGGGGCAAGCGUUGUCCGGAAUCAUUGGGCGUAAAGCGCGCGUAGGCGGCCCUGUAAGUCCGCUGUAAAAGUCAAAGGCUCAACCUUUGAAAGCCGGUGGAUACUGCAGGGCUAGAGUCCGGAAGAGGCGAGUGGAAUUCCUGGUGUAGCGGUGGAAUGCGCAGAUAUCGGGAAGAACACCCGUGGCGAAGGCGGCUCUCUGGGACGGUACUGACGCUGAGACGCGAAAGCGUGGGGAGCGAACAGG
Molecule: ribosomal RNA, 253 nt
Filed under: uncultured bacterium
Lineage: Bacteria
Description: partial 16S ribosomal RNA
Rfam family: Bacterial small subunit ribosomal RNA
Source: RNAcentral